GACGAACGCUGGCGGCGCGCCUAACACAUGCAAGUCGAACGGAGAUACUUAAAAGUUUACUUUUGAGUAUCUUAGUGGCGGACGGGUGAGUAACACGUGAGCAACCUACCCUUCAGUGUGGAAUAACGAUUGGAACGAUCGCUAAUACCGCAUAACAUCUUGGGACCGCAUGGUUCUGGGAUCAAAGAUUUAUCGCUGAGGGAUGGGCUCGCGGCCGAUUAGCUAGAUGGUGAGGUAACGGCCCACCAUGGCGACGAUCGGUAGCCGGCCUGAGAGGGUGAACGGCCACAUUGGGACUGAGACACGGCCCAAACUCCUACGGGAGGCAGCAGUGGGGAAUAUUGCACAAUGGGGGAAACCCUGAUGCAGCAACGCCGCGUGAAGGAAGACGGUUUUCGGAUUGUAAACUUCUAUCAAUAGGGACGAAAAAAUAGACGGUACCUAAAUAAGAAGCCCCGGCUAACUACGUGCCAGCCGCCGCCGUAAU
RNAcentral lists this ribosomal RNA (487 nucleotides) under uncultured bacterium. RNAcentral describes it as "bacterial SSU rRNA". It matches the Rfam family "Bacterial small subunit ribosomal RNA", at positions 28 to 524 of the family's 1533-position model. The record is from RNAcentral.